GGCUAACCUGCCCUUAGGACGAGAAUAACCCCGGGAAACUGGGGCUAAUGCUCGAUAGGUGAAGAACUCUGGAAUGAGUCUUCACUUAAAAGAGUCUGCGUUAUGCUCGUAGAUUUCGCCCAAGGAUGGGGCCGCGACCGAUCAGGUUGUUGGCGAGGUAAUGGCUCACCAAGCCUUUUACCGGUGCGGGCCGUGAGAGCGGGAGCCCGGAGAUGGGCACCGAGACAAGGGCCCAGGCCCUACGGGGCGCAGCAGUCGCGAAAACUUUGCAAUACACGAAAGUGUGACAGGGCUAUCCCGAGUGCCAUCCGCUGAGGAAGGCUUUUACCCAGUCUAGAAAGCUGGGGGAAUAAGGAGAGGGCAAGUCUGGUGUCAGCCGCCGCGGUAAUACCAGCUCUCCGAGUGGUGUGGAUGUUUAUUGGGCCUAAAGCAUCCGUAGCUGGCUAAGUUAGUCCCCUGUUAAAUCCAACGAAUUAAUCGUUGGAUCGCGGGGGAUACUGCUUGGCUAGGGGACGAGAGAGGCAGACGGUAUUUCCGGGGUAGGGGUGAAAUCCUAUAAUCCCGGGAAGACCACCAGUGGCGAAGGCUGUCUGCUAGAACGCGCCCGACGGUGAGGGAUGAAAGCUGGGGGAGCGAACCGGAUUAGAUACCCGGGUAGUCCCAGCUGUAAACGAUGCAGGCUAGGUGUUUGGACGGCCACGUGCCGUUCUAGUGCCGCAGGGAAGCUGUUAAGCCUGCCGCCUGGGGAGUACGACCGCAAGAUUGAAACUUAA
This 773-nucleotide ribosomal RNA is filed under the name uncultured archaeon. RNAcentral's name for it is "bacterial SSU rRNA". It matches the Rfam family "Archaeal small subunit ribosomal RNA", at positions 102 to 859 of the family's 1478-position model. The record is from RNAcentral.